UACAGAGGUCUCAACCGUUGUUCGGAUUCAUUGGGCGUAAAGGGUGCGUAGGCGGUCGCGCAAGUCGGAUGUGAAAUCUUAGGGCUCAACCCUGAAACUGCAUUCGAUACUGCGUGGCUCGAGUACUGGAGAGGAGACUGGAAUUUACGGUGUAGCAGUGAAAUGCGUAGAUAUCGUAAGGAAGACCAGUGGCGAAGGCGAGUCUCUGGACAGUUACUGACGCUGAGGCACGAAGGCCAGGGGAGCAAACGGGG
RNAcentral lists this ribosomal RNA (254 nucleotides) under uncultured bacterium. Its description in RNAcentral is "partial 16S ribosomal RNA". It matches the Rfam family "Bacterial small subunit ribosomal RNA", at positions 524 to 777 of the family's 1533-position model. The record is from RNAcentral.